This 254-nucleotide ribosomal RNA is filed under the name uncultured bacterium. RNAcentral describes it as "partial 16S ribosomal RNA". It matches the Rfam family "Bacterial small subunit ribosomal RNA", at positions 524 to 776 of the family's 1533-position model. The record is from RNAcentral.
UACAGAGGUGGCAAGCGUUGUUCGGAAUUACUGGGCGUAAAGGGCGCGUAGGCGGCCUUCUAAGUCAGACGUGAAAUCCCCCCGGCUUAACCUGGGAACUGCGUCUGAUACUGGGAGGCUUGAGUAUGGGAGAGGGAUGUAGAAUUCCAGGUGUAGCGGUGAAAUGCGUAGAUAUCAGGAGGAACACCUGUGGCGAAAGCGGCUCACUGGACCAUAACUGACGCUGAUGCACGAAAGCUAGGGGAGCAAACAGG